GAUGAACGCUGGCGGCGUGCCUAAUACAUGCAAGUCGAGCGAACAGAUGAGGAGCUUGCUCCUCUGACGUUAGCGGCGGACGGGUGAGUAACACGUGGAUAACCUACCUAUAAGACUGGGAUAACUUCGGGAAACCGGAGCUAAUACCGGAUAAUAUAUUGAACCGCAUGGUUCAAUAGUGAAAGACGGUUUUGCUGUCACUUAUAGAUGGAUCCGCGCCGCAUUAGCUAGUUGGUAAGGUAACGGCUUACCAAGGCAACGAUGCGUAGCCGACCUGAGAGGGUGAUCGGCCACACUGGAACUGAGACACGGUCCAGACUCCUCCGGGAGGCAGCAGUAGGGAAUCUUCCGCAAUGGGCGAAAGCCUGACGGAGCAACGCCGCGUGAGUGAUGAAGGUCUUCGGAUCGUAAACCUCUGUUAUUAGGGAAGAACAAAUGUGUAAGUAACUAUGCACGUCUUGACGGUACCUAAUCAGAAAGCCACGGCUAACUACGUG
RNAcentral lists this ribosomal RNA (497 nucleotides) under uncultured bacterium. RNAcentral describes it as "partial 16S ribosomal RNA". It matches the Rfam family "Bacterial small subunit ribosomal RNA", at positions 28 to 507 of the family's 1533-position model. The record is from RNAcentral.